This 433-nucleotide long non-coding RNA is filed under the name Capsicum annuum. RNAcentral's name for it is "long non-coding RNA (CANN_LNC006364)". Lineage: Eukaryota; Viridiplantae; Streptophyta; Magnoliopsida; Solanales; Solanaceae. The record is from RNAcentral.
CUCGUUCAAUUGAGAAGUAAGAUCUCGCACUGAGCUUUCUAAACCAGAAACACAGGACAAAUCUUCCUGAAGCUUAGCCACAUGCUCAUCACGCUGCUGCACAAGUUGAUCAAGUCUACAUUUCUCCACUUCAAAGUCUGCUGCCAGCUGCCUGAAAUUCUUAAGUUCAGCAUUUUGCUUUUCCAAGUCCAGUAACCUGUCAUGCUUCUCAUUCAAUUGAGAAGUAAGAUCUCUAACAGAGCACUGUAAACCAGAAACACAGGACAAAUCUUCCUGAAGCUUAGCCACAUGCUCAUCACGCUGCUGCACAAGUUGGUCAAGUCUACAUUUCUCCACUUCAAAAUCUGCUGCCAGCUGCUUCAAAUUCACCAGUUCAGCAUUUUGUUUUUCCAAGUCCAGUAACCUGUCAUGCUUCUCAUUCAAUUGGGAAGUA